UAAUAGUGACGCAUAUACAAGCCAAGGACCCAUCAUCCAUCCAAGGUUAGUGGGCCAAGCAACAACAUCACCUCUGCGGAUAUCCAUGUGGCACCAUGCAUCUGCAGCAGCUUUGAAAGGGGUUGCAUUGGUCCAUGGAAUUGCCUUCGGAUCCCCUGUAGUUCCAGAUGAGAAGAGGAUGUUUGUAAAUGCUUCUAUUGGUUGUUCUACAGCAGCAAAUUCAUCUCCUCUUAU
Molecule: unclassified non-coding RNA, 234 nt
Filed under: Hevea brasiliensis (rubber tree)
Lineage: Eukaryota; Viridiplantae; Streptophyta; Magnoliopsida; Malpighiales; Euphorbiaceae
Source: RNAcentral